GCUCGAGUGGCGAACGGGUGAGUAACACGUGAGUAACCUGCCCUUGACUUUGGGAUAACUCCAGGAAACUGGGGCUAAUACCGGAUAGGAGCUCCUGCUGCAUGGUGGGGGUUGGAAAGUUUCGGCGGUUGGGGAUGGACUCGCGGCUUAUCAGCUUGUUGGUGGGGUAGUGGCUUACCAAGGCUUUGACGGGUAGCCGGCCUGAGAGGGUGACCGGCCACAUUGGGACUGAGAUACGGCCCAG
This 244-nucleotide ribosomal RNA is filed under the name uncultured Actinomycetales bacterium. RNAcentral's name for it is "partial 16S ribosomal RNA". It matches the Rfam family "Bacterial small subunit ribosomal RNA", at positions 89 to 334 of the family's 1533-position model. The record is from RNAcentral. Lineage: Bacteria; Bacillati; Actinomycetota; Actinomycetes; Actinomycetales.